GCAACCGAGCCCAGAGAUGGAUCCCAAAGCUGAAGAAUUGGUUUAAUUAAAUUGAAAGCUCUGGUGCUUGUGGUAAUUGCUAUGAAGGAAUCCAUAUCCCAUCAGAACCCUCUCCCCUGGAGUUUGCUCCCUCUACUUUCUCUGCAGCAGCCUGCCAGCCAGAGUCAGACUGUGUGCAUUUGAAAUCUCCAACCUUUUAAAACAUUACUGUGAAGUUGAAAGUUCCUGGUGUCUUUUGAUUAAACAUUGUGCUAGCAACAAUAAUAUUGACCACAUUUGAGACAGAAGAGCCACAAGAAGGAAUUAGCCUAAAUUCCUAAGUGCCCAUCUGGAAAGGAUCCUCCUUGGAAGAUCUGUCAGAUCCAUAGUAAACUUUGAAUGAAACAGAAAUAAAAUGUUAUGUGUUAAAGUU
RNAcentral lists this non-coding RNA (412 nucleotides) under Pongo abelii (Sumatran orangutan). The record is from RNAcentral. Lineage: Eukaryota; Metazoa; Chordata; Mammalia; Primates; Hominidae.